AUGCCUUAAACUAAUGAGUAAGGAAAAUAACGAGCCUUGGUGACGCUUGGCUCCCAGGUUCUAAUCCUGGAAGAAUUUCUCUUCGGGUAAAGGUCGCCCUCUGGUGCCGAACCUACUUUGUUCCGUGCCUCUGUUGCGUGAUCUGCCCU
Molecule: small nuclear RNA, 149 nt
Filed under: Helobdella robusta
Lineage: Eukaryota; Metazoa; Annelida; Clitellata; Rhynchobdellida; Glossiphoniidae
Description: U12 minor spliceosomal RNA
Rfam family: U12 minor spliceosomal RNA
About the family: Although the U12 sequence is very divergent from that of U2, the two are functionally analogous.
Source: Rfam by way of RNAcentral